Molecule: ribosomal RNA, 253 nt
Filed under: uncultured bacterium
Lineage: Bacteria
Description: partial 16S ribosomal RNA
Rfam family: Bacterial small subunit ribosomal RNA
Source: RNAcentral
UACGGAGGGUGCAAGCGUUAUCCGGAUUCACUGGGUUUAAAGGGUGCGUAGGCGGGCAGGUAAGUCAGUGGUGAAAUCUCCGGGCUUAACCCGGAAACUGCUGUUGAUACUAUCUGUCUUGAAUAUCGUGGAGGUAAGCGGAAUACGUCAUGUAGCGGUGAAAUGCUUAGAUAUGACAUAGAACACCCAUUGCGAAGGCAGCUUACUACACGAUCAUUGACGCUGAGGCACGAAAGCGUGGGGAGCAAACAGG